This 450-nucleotide ribosomal RNA is filed under the name uncultured bacterium. RNAcentral's name for it is "partial 16S ribosomal RNA". It matches the Rfam family "Bacterial small subunit ribosomal RNA", at positions 354 to 796 of the family's 1533-position model. The record is from RNAcentral.
GUCGAGAAUAAUUCACAAUGGGGGAAACCCUGAUGGUGCAACGCCGCGUGGAGGAUGAAGGUCUUCGGAUUGUAAACUCCUGUCAUCUGGGAGUAAGACCUGACGGUGAAUAGCCGGCAGGGUUGAUAGUACCAGAAGAGGAAGGGACGGCUAACUUCGUGCCAGCAGCCGCGGUAAUACGAAGGUCCCAAGCGUUGUUCGGAAUCACUGGGCGUAAAGGGAGCGUAGGCGGCGUGGUAAGUCAGAUGUGAAAUCCCGGGGCUCAACCCCGGAACUGCAUCCGAUACUGCCAUGCUUGAGGGUUGGAUAGGUAGCUGGAAUUCUCGGUGUAGCAGUGAAAUGCGGGGAUAUCGAGAGGAACACUCGUGGCGAAGGCGAGCUACUGGACAACAUCUGACGCUGAGGCUCGAAGGCUAGGGGAGCAAAAGGGAUUAGAUACCCCAGUAGUCC